AGCGUACACGGUGGAUGCCCUGGCAGUCAGAGGCGAUGAAGGACGUGCUAAUCUGCGAUAAGCGUCGGUAAGGUGAUAUGAACCGUUAUAACCGGCGAUUUCCGAAUGGGGAAACCCAGUGUGUUUCGACACACUAUCAUUAACUGAAUCCAUAGGUUAAUGAGGCGAACCGGGGGAACUGAAACAUCUAAGUACCCCGAGGAAAAGAAAUCAACCGAGAUUCCCCCAGUAGCGGCGAGCGAACGGGGAGGAGCCCAGAGCCUGAAUCAGUGUGUGUGUUAGUGGAAGCGUCUGGAAAGGCGCGCGAUACAGGGUGACAGCCCCGUACACAAAAAUGCACAUGCUGUGAGCUCGAUGAGUAGGGCGGGACACGUGGUAUCCUGUCUGAAUAUGGGGGGACCAUCCUCCAAGGCUAAAUACUCCUGACUGACCGAUAGUGAACCAGUACCGUGAGGGAAAGGCGAAAAGAACCCCGGCGAGGGGAGUGAAAAAGAACCUGAAACCGUGUACGUACAAGCAGUGGGAGCNNNNNNNNNNNNGUGACUGCGUACCUUUUGUAUAAUGGGUCAGCGACUUAUAUUCUGUAGCAAGGUUAACCGAAUAGGGGAGCCGAAGGGAAACCGAGUCUUAACUGGGCGUUAAGUUGCAGGGUAUAGACCCGAAACCCGGUGAUCUAGCCAUGGGCAGGUUGAAGGUUGGGUAACACUAACUGGAGGACCGAACCGACUAAUGUUGAAAAAUUAGCGGAUGACUUGUGGCUGGGGGUGAAAGGCCAAUCAAACCGGGAGAUAGCUGGUUCUCCCCGAAAGCUAUUUAGGUAGCGCCUCGUGAAUUCAUCUCCGGGGGUAGAGCACUGUUUCGGCAAGGGGGUCAUCCCGACUUACCAACCCGAUGCAAACUGCGAAUACCGGAGAAUGUUAUCACGGGAGACACACGGCGGGUGCUAACGUCCGUCGUGAAGAGGGAAACAACCCAGACCGCCAGCUAAGGUCCCAAAGUCAUGGUUAAGUGGGAAACGAUGUGGGAAGGCCCAGACAGCCAGGAUGUUGGCUUAGAAGCAGCCAUCAUUUAAAGAAAGCGUAAUAGCUCACUGGUCGAGUCGGCCUGCGCGGAAGAUGUAACGGGGCUAAACCAUGCACCGAAGCUGCGGCAGCGACGCUUAUGCGUUGUUGGGUAGGGGAGCGUUCUGUAAGCCUGUGAAGGUGUGCUGUGAGGCAUGCUGGAGGUAUCAGAAGUGCGAAUGCUGACAUAAGUAACGAUAAAGCGGGUGAAAAGCCCGCUCGCCGGAAGACCAAGGGUUCCUGUCCAACGUUAAUCGGGGCAGGGUGAGUCGACCCCUAAGGCGAGGCCGAAAGGCGUAGUCGAUGGGAAACAGGUUAAUAUUCCUGUACUUGGUGUUACUGCGAAGGGGGGACGGAGAAGGCUAUGUUGGCCGGGCGACGGUUGUCCCGGUUUAAGCGUGUAGGCUGGUUUUCCAGGCAAAUCCGGAAAAUCAAGGCUGAGGCGUGAUGACGAGGCACUACGGUGCUGAAGCAACAAAUGCCCUGCUUCCAGGAAAAGCCUCUAAGCAUCAGGUAACAUCAAAUCGUACCCCAAACCGACACAGGUGGUCAGGUAGAGAAUACCAAGGCGCUUGAGAGAACUCGGGUGAAGGAACUAGGCAAAAUGGUGCCGUAACUUCGGGAGAAGGCACGCUGAUAUGUAGGUGAAGUCCCUCGCGGAUGGAGCUGAAAUCAGUCGAAGAUACCAGCUGGCUGCAACUGUUUAUUAAAAACACAGCACUGUGCAAACACGAAAGUGGACGUAUACGGUGUGACGCCUGCCCGGUGCCGGAAGGUUAAUUGAUGGGGUCAGCGCAAGCGAAGCUCUUGAUCGAAGCCCCGGUAAACGGCGGCCGUAACUAUAACGGUCCUAAGGUAGCGAAAUUCCUUGUCGGGUAAGUUCCGACCUGCACGAAUGGCGUAAUGAUGGCCAGGCUGUCUCCACCCGAGACUCAGUGAAAUUGAACUCGCUGUGAAGAUGCAGUGUACCCGCGGCAAGACGGAAAGACCCCGUGAACCUUUACUAUAGCUUGACACUGAACAUUGAGCCUUGAUGUGUAGGAUAGGUGGGAGGCUUUGAAGUGUGGACGCCAGUCUGCAUGGAGCCGACCUUGAAAUACCACCCUUUAAUGUUUGAUGUUCUAACGUUGACCCGUAAUCCGGGUUGCGGACAGUGUCUGGUGGGUAGUUUGACUGGGGCGGUCUCCUCCUAAAGAGUAACGGAGGAGCACGAAGGUUGGCUAAUCCUGGUCGGACAUCAGGAGGUUAGUGCAAUGGCAUAAGCCAGCUUGACUGCGAGCGUGACGGCGCGAGCAGGUGCGAAAGCAGGUCAUAGUGAUCCGGUGGUUCUGAAUGGAAGGGCCAUCGCUCAACGGAUAAAAGGUACUCCGGGGAUAACAGGCUGAUACCGCCCAAGAGUUCAUAUCGACGGCGGUGUUUGGCACCUCGAUGUCGGCUCAUCACAUCCUGGGGCUGAAGUAGGUCCCAAGGGUAUGGCUGUUCGCCAUUUAAAGUGGUACGCGAGCUGGGUUUAGAACGUCGUGAGACAGUUCGGUCCCUAUCUGCCGUGGGCGCUGGAGAACUGAGGGGGGCUGCUCCUAGUACGAGAGGACCGGAGUGGACGCAUCACUGGUGUUCGGGUUGUCAUGCCAAUGGCACUGCCCGGUAGCUAAAUGCGGAAGAGAUAAGUGCUGAAAGCAUCUAAGCACGAAACUUGCCCCGAGAUGAGUUCUCCCUGACUCCUUGA
RNAcentral lists this ribosomal RNA (2787 nucleotides) under Escherichia coli. RNAcentral describes it as "bacterial LSU rRNA". It matches the Rfam family "Bacterial large subunit ribosomal RNA". Lineage: Bacteria; Pseudomonadati; Pseudomonadota; Gammaproteobacteria; Enterobacterales; Enterobacteriaceae. The record is from RNAcentral.